UGCUUCUAGACAUCUACAUCUAUUUUAAUACCCUUCAACGCUAUAACACAUCAAGAAGAGACUAGACUCUUUACCUUCAGUGCACAGGAGAAAACUAUGAGUUCUGCGGGAGUUCCAUCCAGUCAGAAAGUCCUGCAGUUAUACCGGCAAAUUCUGAAGGAAGGAAGGUCACUAAAAUAUACAGAUUACGAAUUCUUUCGAAGAUCAAUAAGAAGGGAUUUUGAACGACAAAAAGAUGAGGUGGAAGCGAAGGUUAUCAAGGAACAGUACGAGAAAGGGAUAUAUUUUCUAGAGACAAAAUUAGGUGGGCUGCAAUGAAGGAGAUAACAUGAAAAUUCAGGAAUAACAUGAAGAUGCUGCCUGAGAACAAGUGGCUUGGGUUCCUGUGUCAGGGAUUGCUGUGUUGAAAAGUUGUUUGAGGUUUUCGUAUUACAGUCCAUGGACUCUGCAGCAGUACGUAAAGGACUCUGAAGCAGUGGCAGUUUACCGAGGACUGUUUGAUGUGCAGUUUUAUGCCCCUUUUUAAAAAUUCUGAUGGAUGGUUUACAGUGCUAAGUUUAUAAGUCCACUAGUGUGUUUGUUUCAGGCAUGAUUGUUAAGCUCAAUGCUUUGCAACUAGAUCAUUUACAAUUUUAUUUAUUUUUUUUUUAUUCUUGUCAUGUAUGUGUAGUUUUGAACCUUGUGCACCAUGGUGAAAUGUUAAUACAUUAAAAGUGCAUGUACAUGAAUUUGCAAUAAACACCUUAUUCAUUUAAAUUA
Molecule: long non-coding RNA, 759 nt
Organism: Stylophora pistillata
Lineage: Eukaryota; Metazoa; Cnidaria; Anthozoa; Scleractinia; Pocilloporidae
Source: RefSeq, a predicted model, not a curated record